RNAcentral lists this ribosomal RNA (369 nucleotides) under Salmonella enterica. RNAcentral's name for it is "bacterial SSU rRNA". It matches the Rfam family "Bacterial small subunit ribosomal RNA", at positions 1153 to 1521 of the family's 1533-position model. Lineage: Bacteria; Pseudomonadati; Pseudomonadota; Gammaproteobacteria; Enterobacterales; Enterobacteriaceae. RNAcentral also lists the same sequence under 6 other names. The record is from RNAcentral.
CAGUGAUAAACUGGAGGAAGGUGGGGAUGACGUCAAGUCAUCAUGGCCCUUACGACCAGGGCUACACACGUGCUACAAUGGCGCAUACAAAGAGAAGCGACCUCGCGAGAGCAAGCGGACCUCAUAAAGUGCGUCGUAGUCCGGAUUGGAGUCUGCAACUCGACUCCAUGAAGUCGGAAUCGCUAGUAAUCGUGGAUCAGAAUGCCACGGUGAAUACGUUCCCGGGCCUUGUACACACCGCCCGUCACACCAUGGGAGUGGGUUGCAAAAGAAGUAGGUAGCUUAACCUUCGGGAGGGCGCUUACCACUUUGUGAUUCAUGACUGGGGUGAAGUCGUAACAAGGUAACCGUAGGGGAACCUGCGGUUGG